This 304-nucleotide ribosomal RNA is filed under the name uncultured bacterium. RNAcentral describes it as "partial 16S ribosomal RNA". It matches the Rfam family "Bacterial small subunit ribosomal RNA", at positions 509 to 807 of the family's 1533-position model. The record is from RNAcentral.
CAGCAGUCGCCGCGGUAAUACGAAGGGGGCUAGCGUUGCUCGGAAUCACUGGGCGUAAAGGGUGCGUAGGCGGGUCUUUAAGUCAGGGGUGAAAUCCUGGAGCUCAACUCCAGAACUGCCUUUGAUACUGAAGAUCUUGAGUUCGGGAGAGGUGAGUGGAACUGCGAGUGUAGAGGUGAAAUUCGUAGAUAUUCGCAAGAACACCAGUGGCGAAGGCGGCUCACUGGCCCGAUACUGACGCUGAGGCACGAAAGCGUGGGGAGCAAACAGGAUUAGAUACCCCCGUAGUCCCUGUCUCUUAUAC